RNAcentral lists this ribosomal RNA (58 nucleotides) under uncultured eukaryote. RNAcentral describes it as "partial small subunit ribosomal RNA". The record is from RNAcentral.
UCAGCGACUGGAAUGAAGUCGUAACAAGGUAGCCGUAGGUGAACCUGCAGAAGGAUCA